GACGGAGGAUGCAAGCGUUAUCCGGAAUGAUUGGGCGUAAAGCGUCCGCAGGUGGCAGUUCAAGUCUGCUGUCAAAGACCGAGGCUUAACUUCGGAAAGGCAGUGGAAACUGAACAGCUAGAGUAUGGUAGGGGCAGAGGGAAUUCCUGGUGUAGCGGUGGAAUGCAUAGAGAUCCGGAAGAACACCGGUGGCGAAGGCGGCCUGCUGGGCAGUUUUGCUGACACUGAGGCGCGACAGCGUGGGGAGCAAACAGG
This 255-nucleotide ribosomal RNA is filed under the name uncultured bacterium. RNAcentral's name for it is "partial 16S ribosomal RNA". It matches the Rfam family "Bacterial small subunit ribosomal RNA", at positions 524 to 776 of the family's 1533-position model. The record is from RNAcentral.